GAAGUUUCUCAUGUGGUCCUGUACAGAUAUUUCACUCAGUGUUGCCAAGAGAUUUUACCCAACAACAGGAUUAUCCAGAUGUAAUAUUAGAGGUUUGUCAAAAAGAUCAUCUGAGGACAAUGAGGCUUCAACACCACCCUCUUAACUGACAGAUUGCACAGCCACUUUCCAAACUUAUCAUUGCCAGUGAAUUAUCUUACUAUUCGUUUUUUCUGCCUUAAAUAUAAAUGUAAUGUAUAAUCUGCCUUUCUUGACUGCAUUAUAAUAACAGUAAAGUUAUUUAUUUAAUACUUUUAUAGUUUAAGCACUAUCCUAAGUACUUUUCAUAUAUAAUUUAAAUGAAUGGUCUGCCGUAAAUCCCUGAAAUUGCUAUUACUAUCCUCCUUCCCCACUGUAGAUGAGAAAACUGGGCACUAGGCCAUGUUGCUAGUAAGUGAUAGAAAGUAUUUUCAAUUCAGAUUUAUCUGCUUUAAAGCCAAGGCUUUUUAACAUUAGAACAUGCUACCUGAAGUGAGUGAAUUAAGAAAGAGGAGGUUCAAUGUUAUUCAUUUUUGUAGACCAGUUCCUAGCCCCAUGUAUGGUGUUGGUGGAGGCUCAGUUAAGAAGGUGGAAAUCAUGAUGCAAACUGGGCAGUCUUUUUGUGUUUUGGGGACGCAGUGGGCUCUCAAUCUCAAGAAGAUCAGUUAUUAAGGAAAUAAGGUGUUAUAUGCUGUGGAUAUAUAUCCAAAGGGAUGCUGCCAAAUUAUAUUAUUUUAAAAAUAAAAAUUAAAUUUAUUUGUUGUUCAUUUGUGCUUAUAUGCAUUAACUCAGUUCUCACAAUACUUUUUUGUUGUAGGCACUAUUAUGUCCUUACUUUACAAAUGUGGAUUAUUGAGACACAGAGAGGUUCAGUUCAUGUUCAUGGUCACGUAGCUAGUGCAUGACUAAGGUACAACAGGAUCAUGGUGGGCAUUUGGGCACCAAGGCCCACACCUCCAACCACUGUGCAUGCAAAUGCACAUUGGGGAUUGAGCCCUAAAUCAGGGCAUGUGACCUGACCAGGAAUCGAACUGUGACCCCUUGGUUCAUAGGUUGAUGCUCAACCACUGAACCACGCUGGUCAGCCUAUUUCUUUUGUGCCUUACAAGAACACUGUGAGCAGAAUAUGUAUCAUCCCCCUUUCACAUGAUGAGGUCAUAAGAGGUGACCUGCAAUGGGAGAGUGCCUACUUACUGAUCCACACACUAGGUGAGUGACAGUCAAUGUUUUCUGUGAUAGACAACAUGGGUUUGUGUGGACAGAAGAUAAGAGAAAGACAACCCUGAAAAAGAGCCAGUUGCUACAGAUGAGUAGGCAGAGAAAAUUCUCACUGUUGCUAGGAGACCAGUUCUGCUGUCAGGCUGAGGAAUGAGAACAUGCCCAAUGGAGGGCACUGGGCUGGAAUUCAUGUCUGACAAAAAUUGUUGAAUCAUGCAUGCCAGUGGGUUGAGUCAGAAUCAACCAGAGCUAAAAACAGUCAAGAAAGUUUUCCUACCCCUUAUUUGUUUCUCCUCUUUUUAUUAUUUAUUUCAGAUAUAAAUUCUUAAUUAAUGAUCCAACAGUAGACAUGGGAUGCAUAGAAAUUUUUAGUGCCACUCUGAGGCACAUGGUGAUGUAUUUUAAGCCACUAUCCAGAAUGAGAAAUCCUUUCUCCAAAAAUAAGUAAGUAAGCCCAAGGAGAGUUUAACUUGCUUGUCUUCCACGUUCCUUUGAGGUAGUCUAAAUUGUUUAUCAAAUGAAGCAUUACUGAGUUAAUGUCAAAACUCUUUGCACUGUUAAUAACAAAGGUUUAUUCUUACCUCCACUCAACAGACCUCCUUCCUGACUGACAUCUGUGCUUGCACCCAAUAGCCAGUGCAGCCUUGCACAGGUCAUGCUUCCUCCAUGAAUUGCCUUUUUCUCAUAUAAAUAAGACCAGAAAUGUGGAUUAUCAGGCCUUAUAGAAUAUUUGGCUUUAUAUGAUUCUAGGACCAUA
This is a long non-coding RNA of Myotis daubentonii (Daubenton's bat), 1993 nucleotides long. RefSeq lists it as uncharacterized. The record is from RefSeq and is a predicted model, not a curated record. Lineage: Eukaryota; Metazoa; Chordata; Mammalia; Chiroptera; Vespertilionidae.